AGUUUGAUCCUGGCUCAGGAUGAACGCUGGCGGCGUGCCUAACACAUGCAAGUCGAGCGAUUCUCUUCGGAGAAGAGCGGCGGACGGGUGAGUAACGCGUGGGUAACCUGCCCUGUACACACGGAUAACAUACCGAAAGGUAUGCUAAUACGAGAUAAUAUACUUUUAUCGCAUGGUAGAAGUAUCAAAGCUCCGGCGGUACAGGAUGGACCCGCGUCUGAUUAGCUAGUUGGUAAAGUAACGGCUUACCAAGGCGACGAUCAGUAGCCGACCUGAGAGGGUGAUCGGCCACAUUGGAACUGAGACACGGUCCAAACUCCUACGGGAGGCAGCAGUGGGGAAUAUUGCACAAUGGGCGAAAGCCUGAUGCAGCAACGCCGCGUGAGCGAUGAAGGCCUUCGGGUCGUAAAGCUCUGUCCUCAAGGAAGAUAAUGACGGUACUUGAGGAGGAAGCCCCGGCUAACUACGUGCCAGCAGCCGCGGUAAUACGUAGGGGGCUAGCGUUAUCCGGAAUUACUGGGCGUAAAGGGUGCGUAGGUGGUUUCUUAAGUCAGAGGUGAAAGGCUACGGCUCAACCGUAGUAAGCCUUUGAAACUGGGAAACUUGAGUGCAGGAGAGGAGAGUGGAAUUCCUAGUGUAGCGGUGAAAUGCGUAGAUAUUAGGAGGAACACCAGUUGCGAAGGCGGCUCUCUGGACUGUAACUGACACUGAGGCACGAAAGCGUGGGGAGCAAACAGGAUUAGAUACCCUGGUAGUCCACGCCGUAAACGAUGAGUACUAGCUGUCGGAGGUUACCCCCUUCGGUGGCGCAGCUAACGCAUUAAGUACUCCGCCUGGGAAGUACGCUCGCAAGAGUGAAACUCAAAGGAAUUGACG
RNAcentral lists this ribosomal RNA (876 nucleotides) under uncultured bacterium. RNAcentral describes it as "bacterial SSU rRNA". It matches the Rfam family "Bacterial small subunit ribosomal RNA", at positions 10 to 915 of the family's 1533-position model. The record is from RNAcentral.